UACGGAGGGGCUAGCGUUGUCCGGAAUUAUUGGGCGUAAAGAGCUCGUAGGCGGUUUGUCGCGUCUGCUGUGAAAACCCGAGGCUCAACCUCGGGUCUGCAGUCGAUACGAGCAAACUAGAGUGUUGCAGGGGAGACUGGAAUUCCUGGUGUAGCGGUGAAAUGCGCAGAUAUCAGGAGGAACACCGGUGGCGAAGGCGGGUCUCUGGGCAACAACUGACGCUGAGGAGCGAAAGCGUGGGGAGCGAACAGG
Molecule: ribosomal RNA, 252 nt
Filed under: uncultured bacterium
Lineage: Bacteria
Description: partial 16S ribosomal RNA
Rfam family: Bacterial small subunit ribosomal RNA
Source: RNAcentral